Molecule: ribosomal RNA, 403 nt
Filed under: uncultured bacterium
Lineage: Bacteria
Description: bacterial SSU rRNA
Rfam family: Bacterial small subunit ribosomal RNA
Source: RNAcentral
UAGGGAAUAUUAGUAAUGGGCGAAAGCCUGAACUAGCAACGCCGCGUGUGCGAAGAAGGCCUUCGGGUUGUAAAGCACUUUUUGAGAGGAUGAGGAAGGACGGUACUCUCAGAAUAAGUCUCGGCUAACUACGUGCCAGCAGCCGCGGUAACACGUAGGAGGCGAACGUUAUCCGGAUUUACUGGGCGUAAAGCGCGUGUAGGUGGUUUGGUAAGUAGGGCGUGAAAGCUCCUGGCUCAACUGGGAGAGGCCGUUCUAAACUGCCGGACUAGAGGAUGGGAGGGGGAGGUGGAAUUCCCGGUGUUGCGGUGGAAUGGGGAGGUAUUCGGAGGAACACCAGUGGCGAAAGCGGCCUCCUGGACCACUCCUGACACUCAGACGCGAAAGCUAGGGUAGCAAACGG